AUUGGUUCCAAUUGUGUUAGGACUUUAACAUGAUCCUUUGAGAGCGGGUGGUCCUCUCCUCCACCGCCACCCCCAGGCUUUAGUGUUUUUUACAUUGCAAAGGUUUAGGUUGUCUUUUGUAACAGGAUGGAAAAAUUCAUGAGAGGUAACAAGCUUGUUGCCUCAGUCAUGAGACAAUGAGCUAACCCAAACUGAGUAUUAGAUUUAGGGCAGAAAAGAUGGCGCUCCCAUACACCUUAUUUCCAUCCUUUCUUUCCUAAAUAAUGCUUAAGGAAACCAUGCUAGGGUUAACACGGGAGGAGAGGAGGAACAACCAAGGUGAAUCCGCACUAGGCAGAGAGAAGAGAGUGCCUGCCUUCCGAAAAAAGGCUCCUUCACUGCGCGUGCGCCCGCUUCACGGCGGACACAGGCGCCUGUAAUAAUGUUCAUUGCUUACGUAGUAAACGUGCGUCAGCGGGCCGGACCCAGGACGCAUGCGCAGAAGCGCAGUGCCCAAAUGAUUCUGCAAGGCACUGACUUCUUAUGUGAACGGGAGUCAGAAAAACCAGAGAGCUCCAAACUAAGCUUCUGCACGGACAGAGCACGGGAGAAAAUGGAACUACAAUUGGAGGGGCUGCCGAGUUCAACCACUACAGAAGAUAACACUUUGAGGCGAUCCAGCAGCGCCCCUUUGAUCAGUGGCCUUGGUUCAUCAGGAUCCAGGACCCGAAAGCAACAAUUAUUUGGUGUGGAGCACGGCUUUCUCUAACUUCACCCCAUCUCUCACCCACACCAUUGAAGAAAUUGUGUACUCCCCACCCUCGCCUCCAGAUCUGUAAUGACUGUAAUUUUUGUCAUUCUCUCAUCUACUUUGUCACCUCUGACCUUCACCUUAGCACACUCAGAGUGGGAAUGGUUGGCAAGUAAAUAAGCUUGGGCCUUUUUUACACCUAGUUUUUAUUUGAACAAAAAGUUUAGCUAUCACAGAAAAUUGAUCUCCUACUUUUGUAUUCUCAGUAACCUACGUUGGCCCUACUUAGUUCUUGGCAGGUGAAAGUUUUUUUCUCAUAUGCAUAAAACAGAUAUGUAUAUAUGGCACAUAGAUACGCAGUAUAUUUGUGUUAUUAAAAUUGUGCGGGAAUUCUCGAGGAGCUAAUGAGGGAGGAAAUGUCUAAAAAGACUCUAGAGAUCUGAUGAUGAAAAAAGGUUUAAAAGAUUAACUGAUGGUUAACUGUAUUUCUUGCAUAUAUCCAAAGAUCUGGCCUGACUCAACCUUAUUUCUUAAAAUAGAAUUUUAAAGUGAGAUCUUGGAUUUCACAUCCCAGUAUUAUAAGUUUUUCUCAAUAUUGUAAAAAUGUCUGAAAAAUGCCUUCACUGCAUACAUUUUAUUAAGUUUGCACCUCACCUUUUGCUGGCAUCAUCCUACUUGAUAGCUGUAAUUCACAACUGUUAGAUGAGAACUCAGGAGACCAGAUCCACCCUCCUUGUUUAAUGUAUGGGCUAACAGGUCCAUCAGUCUCCAAGAUGUCAUAGUCAGUAAUCGAUCAGUACUAGGAAGCUGUGGCUCCAGACUCCUAAGCUAGUGCUUUGUCCACUGGCUCAGAGGGUAAAUCAUCUGCCUGCAGUGUGGGAGACCCGGGUUCGAUUCCUGGGUUGGGAAGAUCCCCUGGAGAAGGAAAUGGUAACCCACUCCAGUAUUCUUGCCUGGAGAAUCCCAUGGACAGAGCAACCUGGUAGGCUACAGUCCACGGGGUCACAAAGAGUUGGACACGACUGAGCGACUUCACUUCACUUCAGUCAAUAUCUAAGCUGACUAAUUAAAUAAAUGCAGCUUUCUGGUCUUUUGAGUUAAGGGAGAGUAUGUUCUAACAAAAUGAAACACAAACUAAGAGUGACCUGAAAAUAAUACAUUACCUUUUAAAAUAGGCAGCUAGAAAAAUAAGGGGUGGAGACAGCUCUGCAUGUUGUACCGAGAAAAAGAACAUGCUAUAAAUUCAGGAUUCUACUCUAAAUCCUGUUGUGUGAAUAAAUGAAUUGUUAUGGGUGCACUCUGCUAGUAGAAGAAAAUACUUGAGAAUGUUCAUUUUAUUGAAAAGCUCUAUGAAAUGAAGAAACAAGUCACAAAUAUGUAGAUGAUGGAGAAUAUAUAUUUGCAGGAACAUGUGGAUUCUAUUUAAUAUAUUAAGUGCUGGGGUGGGGGGUGAGGGGCAGCUGACCAGGUCCCUUGUCCCAAUCCUCAAAGUCCUGGAAAUAAAGAGAGUGAUCACAGUUAUCCCUUCAUACUUUACUUUGUUCUGCAAAAGAUUGGAAAUGUGUAUUAUAUUAGAGCAUGGUUACAGUGUAGAACUCCAUAGCUUAAGAUCUGAUGCUGGACAUGAAUUUUUGUACAGAAUGGUGAAGGGCAGUUGCAUAUUUCUCUAGUAGGAAUUAAACCGAAAGAUAGACCAAGUCCAGGGACUCUUGUCUAUCAAGAAGAAGUAGCAUAGGAAUGAUAGAUGACAUGCCUGAGGUCAAGGAACUGGUCCAAGUGAUCUGAGGGCAUAUUUUGUGCUAUUGUGACAAGCUUAGCGUGUAAUCAACAAGAAAAAUUUAGAGCAGAAUUACAGGGAGCCUUAGUUGCAUUCCCUGGUGGCUCAGAUGGUAAAGCGUCUGCCUGCAGUGCAGGAGACCCGGGUUCGAUCCCUGGUUUGGGAAGAGCCCCUGGAGAAGGAAAUGGCAACCCACUCCAGUACUCUUGCCUGGAAAAUUCCAUGGACUGAGGAGCCUGGUGGGUUACAGUCCAUGGGGUCGCAAAGAGUCAGACAUGACUGAGCGACUUCUCUUCACUUUAGUUGCAUUCAUUUUCUUGCAGAUUCUUUUCAGUGGAGUAUGUCCACUGCUCACUGCACUUUCUUUUACUUGGCCUCUCAUACUCAUUGCCUUGCCUCUUUCACAGCUCACUAAAUAUUGUUGCACUUCUUUGAAGCAGUUUUCCAAUUUUGUUUGAUGUUUCCUAUGUAUAAAGACUUGUCUCCCUUGCACCAGCAUUUGCAGAAUUUGUUGUGUAAAUGUCAACUCUUUAAUACAAACAUCACUAUUUCUUAAGUUCCUGUACAUUUUUGUAUUCAUCUUGUAUUAAUAAAAAUAUCAAUGUCA
RNAcentral lists this transfer RNA (3114 nucleotides) under Capra hircus (goat). RNAcentral describes it as "lncRNA (ENSCHIG00000003943.1)". The stretch from base 2602 to 2673 matches the Rfam family "tRNA". Lineage: Eukaryota; Metazoa; Chordata; Mammalia; Artiodactyla; Bovidae. The record is from RNAcentral.